GUCCCUUGCCAUAUAUGUUUUUUGAUGCUUGAGUUCUUGAAAAGACUCACUCAGUCUCUUUUUGAAUGAAUUCUAGUAGUUGUUUGUUAUUGUUGAAUAUAUCAAUCACCAACAAGGGUUAUUGAUCACUGAACAAACAACCUCAUCCAUUCAUAUUGGUGAAGUACGCUGACCUUUCCACCGACCACAUGAUGAGACAGCUUUACAGUUGUACAACAUUUUGAA
Molecule: long non-coding RNA, 225 nt
Filed under: Solanum tuberosum (potato)
Lineage: Eukaryota; Viridiplantae; Streptophyta; Magnoliopsida; Solanales; Solanaceae
Description: long non-coding RNA (STUB_LNC011609)
Source: RNAcentral